GAUGAACGCUGACAGAAUGCUUAACACAUGCAAGUCUACUGGAAUUUGGGUUUUUUAACUUAGAUUUGGGUGGCGGACGGGUGAGUAACGCGUAAAGAACUUGCCUCACAGUUAGGGACAACAUUUGGAAACGAAUGCUAAUACCUGAUAUUAUGAAUAUAUGGCAUCAUAUAAUUAUGAAAGCUAUAAGCGCUGUGAGAGAGCUUUGCGUCCCAUUAGCUAGUUGGAGAGGUAACGGCUCACCAAGGCGAUGAUGGGUAGCCGGCCUGAGAGGGUGAACGGCCACAAGGGGACUGAGACACGGCCCUUACUCCUACGGGAGGCAGCAGUGGGGAAUAUUGGACAAUGGACCAAGAGUCUGAUCCGGCAAUUCUGUGUGCACGAUGACGUUUUUCGGAAUGUAAAGUGCUUUCAGUUGGGAAGAAAAAAAUGACGGUACCAACAGAAGAAGUGACGGCUAAAUACGUG
RNAcentral lists this ribosomal RNA (468 nucleotides) under uncultured bacterium. RNAcentral describes it as "partial 16S ribosomal RNA". It matches the Rfam family "Bacterial small subunit ribosomal RNA", at positions 28 to 507 of the family's 1533-position model. The record is from RNAcentral.